Molecule: ribosomal RNA, 389 nt
Filed under: uncultured bacterium
Lineage: Bacteria
Description: bacterial SSU rRNA
Rfam family: Bacterial small subunit ribosomal RNA
Source: RNAcentral
GGACGAACGCUGGCGGCGUGCUUAACACAUGCAAGUCGAGCGGGAUCCAACCGGUGGCAACACCGGGGAAGAUCUAGCGGCGAACGGGUGAGUAACACGUGAGCAACCUGCCCCGAAGACUGGGAUAACACCGGGAAACCGGUGCUAAUACCGGAUGUCGUCAUUAGGCCGCAUGACCUGAUGAUGAAAGGAUUCAUCGCUUCGGGAGGGGCUCGCGGGCUAUCAGCNGUUGGUGGGUAACGGCCUACCAAGGCGACGACGGCUAGCUGGUCUGAGAGGACGACCAGCCACACUGGGACUGAGACACGGCCCAGACUCCUACGGGAGGCAGCAGUGGGGAAUCUUGCGCAAUGGGCGAAAGCCUGACGCAGCAACGCCGCGUGGGGGAU